RNAcentral lists this ribosomal RNA (395 nucleotides) under uncultured bacterium. Its description in RNAcentral is "bacterial SSU rRNA". It matches the Rfam family "Bacterial small subunit ribosomal RNA", at positions 29 to 419 of the family's 1533-position model. The record is from RNAcentral.
AUUGAACGCUGGCGGCAGGCCUAACACAUGCAAGUCGAACGGUAGCACGGGAGAGCUUGCUCUCUGGGUGACGAGUGGCGGACGGGUGAGUAAUGCAUGGGGAGCUGCCCAAUCGAGGGGGAUACCAGCUGGAAACGGCUGCUAAUACCGCAUACGCCCUGAGGGGGAAAGGUGGGGACCUUCGGGCCUACCGCGAUUGGAUGCACCCAUGUGGGAUUAGCUAGUUGGUGAGGUAACGGCUCACCAAGGCGACGAUCUCUAGCUGGUCUGAGAGGAUGACCAGCCACACUGGAACUGAGACACGGUCCAGACUCCUACGGGAGGCAGCAGUGGGGAAUAUUGCACAAUGGGGGAAACCCUGAUGCAGCCAUGCCGCGUGUGUGAAGAAGGCCUGG